RNAcentral lists this ribosomal RNA (255 nucleotides) under uncultured bacterium. RNAcentral describes it as "partial 16S ribosomal RNA". It matches the Rfam family "Bacterial small subunit ribosomal RNA", at positions 526 to 779 of the family's 1533-position model. The record is from RNAcentral.
CGUAGGGUGCAAGCGUUGUCCGGAAUUAUUGGGCGUAAAGAGCUCGUAGGCGGUCUGUCACGUCGGCUGUGAAAACCCGAGGCUCAACCUCGGGCCUGCAGUCGAUACGGGCAAACUAGAGUACUGCAGGGGAGACUGGAAUUCCUGGUGUAGCGGUGAAAUGCGCAGAUAUCAGGAGGAACACCGGUGGCGAAGGCGGGUCUCUGGGCAGUAACUGACGCUGAGGAGCGAAAGCGUGGGGGAGCGAACAGGAUU